CGGGACCGUACCCCAAACCGACACAGGUGGUCAGGGUGAGAAUCCCAAGGCGCUUGAGAGAACUCGGGUAAAGGAACUAGGCAAAAUGGUGCCGUAACUUCGGGAGAAGGCACGCCGGCGUGUACGUGAAGCCCCUGCGGGUGGAGCGGAAGCCGGUCGAAGAUACCAGGCCCCUGCGACUGUUUAUUAAAAACACAGCACUGUGCUAACACGAAAGUGGACGUAUACGGUGUGACGCCUGCCCGGUGCCGGAAGGUUAAUUGAUGGGGUUAGCGCUUGCGCGAAGCUCUUGAUCGAAGCCCCGGUAAACGGCGGCCGUAACUAUAACGGUCCUAAGGUAGCGAAAUUCCUUGUCGGGUAAGUUCCGACCUGCACGAAUGGCGUAACGAUGGGGGCGCUGUCUCUACCCGAGACUCAGUGAAAUUGAAAUCGCCGUGAAGAUGCGGUGUAUCCGCGGCUAGACGGAAAGACCCCGUGAACCUUUACUAUAGCUUCACAGUGAACUUUGAGCAUGCUUGUGUAGGAUAGCUGGGAGGCUUUGAAACCCGGACGCCAGUUCGGGUGGAGCCAACCUUGAAAUACCAGCCUGGCCUGUUUGAGGUUCUAACUUGGUCCCCUGAUCGGGGAUGAGGACACUGUGUGGUGGGUAGUUUGACUGGGGCGGUCUCCUCCCAAAGCGUAACGGAGGAGCACAAAGGUGGGCUAAGCACGGUCGGACAUCGUGCGGUUAGUGUAAUGGCACAAGCCCGCUUGACUGCGAGACAGACACGUCGAGCAGGUGCGAAAGCAGGUCAUAGUGAUCCGGUGGUUCUGUAUGGAAGGGCCAUCGCUCAACGGAUAAAAGGUACUCCGGGGAUAACAGGCUGAUACCGCCCAAGAGUUCACAUCGACGGCGGUGUUUGGCACCUCGAUGUCGGCUCAUCACAUCCUGGGGCUGAAGCCGGUCCCAAGGGUAUGGCUGUUCGCCAUUUAAAGUGGUACGCGAGCUGGGUUUAGAACGUCGUGAGACAGUUCGGUCCCUAUCUGCCGUGGACGUUGGAGAUUUGAGGAAAGCUGCUCCUAGUACGAGAGGACCGGAGUGGACGAACCUCUGGUGUUCGGGUUGUCACGCCAGUGGCAUUGCCCGGUAGCUAUGUUCGGACAGGAUAACCGCUGAAAGCAUCUAAGCGGGAAGCCCCUUCCAAGAUGAGAUCUCCCCGAGGCCUCGAGCCUCCUGAAGAGCCGUUCAAGACCAGGACGUUGAUAGGCCGGGUGUGUAAGCGCUGCGAGGCGUUGAGCUAACCGGUACUAAUUGCUCGUGCGGCUUGACUAU
RNAcentral lists this ribosomal RNA (1312 nucleotides) under Marinobacter segnicrescens. RNAcentral describes it as "bacterial LSU rRNA". It matches the Rfam family "Bacterial large subunit ribosomal RNA", at positions 1637 to 2925 of the family's 2925-position model. The record is from RNAcentral. Lineage: Bacteria; Pseudomonadati; Pseudomonadota; Gammaproteobacteria; Pseudomonadales; Marinobacteraceae.